This 119-nucleotide ribosomal RNA is filed under the name Pteropus alecto (black flying fox). The record is from RNAcentral. Lineage: Eukaryota; Metazoa; Chordata; Mammalia; Chiroptera; Pteropodidae. RNAcentral also lists the same sequence under 1 other name.
GUUUAUGGCCAUGCUACCCUGAGCAAACCCAAUCCCGUCUGAUCUUGGAAGCUAAGCAGGGUGGGGCCUGGGUAGUGCUUGGAUGGGAGACUACCUAGGAAGGCCAGGUGCUGUAGGCA